RNAcentral lists this ribosomal RNA (450 nucleotides) under uncultured bacterium. RNAcentral describes it as "partial 16S ribosomal RNA". It matches the Rfam family "Bacterial small subunit ribosomal RNA", at positions 354 to 796 of the family's 1533-position model. The record is from RNAcentral.
GUGGGGAAUAUUGGACAAUGGGCGAAAGCCUGAUCCAGCCAUGCCGCGUGUGUGAAGAAGGUCUUCGGAUUGUAAAGCACUUUAAGUUGGGAGGAAGGGCAGUAAGUUAAUACCUUGCUGUUUUGACGUUACCGACAGAAUAAGCACCGGCUAACUUCGUGCCAGCAGCCGCGGUAAUACGAAGGGUGCAAGCGUUAAUCGGAAUUACUGGGCGUAAAGCGCGCUUAGGUGGUUUUGUAAGUUGGAGGUGAAAUCCCCGGGCUCAACCUGGGAACGGCCUCCAAAACUGCAUGACUAGAGUACGGUAGAGGGUAGUGGAAUUUCCUGUGUAGCGGUGAAAUGCGUAGAUAUAGGAAGGAACACCAGUGGCGAAGGCGACUACCUGGACUGAUACUGACACUGAGGUGCGAAAGCGUGGGGAGCAAACAGGAUUAGAUACCCGGGUAGUCC